RNAcentral lists this ribosomal RNA (738 nucleotides) under Mulsantina hudsonica. RNAcentral's name for it is "SSU rRNA". It matches the Rfam family "Eukaryotic small subunit ribosomal RNA", at positions 621 to 1323 of the family's 1831-position model. Lineage: Eukaryota; Metazoa; Arthropoda; Insecta; Coleoptera; Coccinellidae. The record is from RNAcentral.
AAAAAGCUCGUAGUCGAACUUGUGUCCCGUACCGUCCGGUUCAUCGUUCGCGGUGUCAACUGGCGUGUUGCGGGACGUCCUGACGGAGGGUCGUUCGCAAGGGCGGCCCGUCUAUCCCCGCCGCGUUGCUCUUCAUUGAGUGACGAGGUGGGCCGUCACCUUUACUUUGAACAAACUAAGGUGCUUAAAGCAGGCUGAAAUUUUGCCCGAAUAUUUACUGCAUGGAAUAAUGAAACAGGACCACGAUUCUAUUUUGUUGGUUUUCGGAAUGUCGAGGUAAUGAUUAACAGGAACGGAUGGGGGCAUUCGUAUUGCGACGUUAGAGGUGAAAUUCUUGGAUCGUCGCAAGACGGACAGAAGCGAAAGCAUUUGCCAAAAACGUUUUCAUUGAUCAAGAACGAAAGUUAGAGGUUCGAAGGCGAUCAGAUACCGCCCUAGUUCUAACCAUAAACUAUGCCAGCUAGCGAUCCGCCGACGUUCCUCCGAUGACUCGGCGGGCAGCUUCCGGGAAACCAAAGCUUUUGGGUUCCGGGGGAAGUAUGGUUGCAAAGCUGAAACUUAAAGGAAUUGACGGAAGGGCACCACCAGGAGUGGAGCCUGCGGCUUAAUUUGACUCAACACGGGAAACCUCACCAGGCCCGGACACUGGAAGGAUUGACAGAUUGAGAGCUCUUUCUUGAUUCGGUGGGUGGUGGUGCAUGGCCGUUCUUAGUUGGUGGAGCGAUUUGUCUGGUUAAU